GACGGAGGGUGCUAGCGUUGUUCGGAAUGACUGGGCGUAAAGGGCGCGUAGGCGGCCGCUUGCGUCGGAUGUGAAAGCCCGGGGCUCAACCCCGGAACGGCAUCCGAUACGGGGCGGCUCGAGACCGAGAGAGGUGAGUGGAAUACCCAGUGUAGAGGUGAAAUUCGUAGAUAUUGGGUGGAACACCGGUGGCGAAAGCGGCUCACUGGCUCGGUUCUGACGCUGAGGCGCGAAAGCGUGGGGAGCAAACAGG
Molecule: ribosomal RNA, 253 nt
Filed under: uncultured bacterium
Lineage: Bacteria
Description: partial 16S ribosomal RNA
Rfam family: Bacterial small subunit ribosomal RNA
Source: RNAcentral